GCGGCCGCGGCGACCGUGGCCGGGUCGGACUUCUAAUCCGACGGUCGCAGGUUCGAAUCCUGCAGGGCGCG
Molecule: transfer RNA, 71 nt
Filed under: Nonomuraea cypriaca
Lineage: Bacteria; Bacillati; Actinomycetota; Actinomycetes; Streptosporangiales; Streptosporangiaceae
Description: Nonomuraea sp. K274 tRNA-Arg
Rfam family: tRNA (bases 10-71)
About the family: Transfer RNA (tRNA) molecules are approximately 80 nucleotides in length. Their secondary structure includes four short double-helical elements and three loops (D, anti-codon, and T loops).
Source: RNAcentral